CAGUGGCGAACGGGUGAGUAACACGUGGGCAAUCUGCCCUGCACUCUGGGACAAGCCCUGGAAACGGGGUCUAAUACCGGAUAUUACCUUCCUCUGCAUGGGGGAGGGUGGAAAGCUCCGGCGGUGCAGGAUGAGCCCGCGGCCUAUCAGCUUGUUGGUGGGGUAAUGGCCUACCAAGGCGACGACGGGUAGCCGGCCUGAGAGGGCGACCGGCCACACUGGGACUGAGACACGGCCCAGACUCCUACGGGAGGCAGCAGUGGGGAAUAUUGCACAAUGGGCGAAAGCCUGAUGCAGCGACGCCGCGUGAGGGAUGACGGCCUUCGGGUUGUAAACCUCUUUCAGCAGGGAAGAAGCGCAAGUGACGGUACCUGCAGAAGAAGCACCGGCUAACUACGUGCCAGCAGCCGCGGUAAUACGUAGGGUGCGAGCGUUGUCCGGANUUAUUGGGCGUAAAGAGCUCGUAGGCGGCCUGUCGCGUCGGAUGUGAAAGCCCGGGGCUUAACCCCGGGUCUAGUAUUCGAUACGGGCAGGCUAGAGUGUGGUAGGGGAGAUCGGAAUUCCU
Molecule: ribosomal RNA, 565 nt
Filed under: Streptomyces sp. 331F06
Lineage: Bacteria; Bacillati; Actinomycetota; Actinomycetes; Kitasatosporales; Streptomycetaceae
Description: bacterial SSU rRNA
Rfam family: Bacterial small subunit ribosomal RNA
Source: RNAcentral